AUAUCCUUUAGGGGAUGUCACGGCUUUGGUUAAGUUUUCCUUUUUACUCCUUAGCUGCUAGCGCAGUUUUAAUGAUAGCUGUUUCACAUGUGCAUGCGGCACUCAUGUGGGCAGAGCUGUCAGAAGACUGUAAAGUCUCAACCAUCCUGCGAUUGCUUGCACCUGAGGAAGACGGAAUGACGAUGUUCUGCGCCAUGGUAUUCCUUUGCUCAUUCAUACACUGAUUUAUGGCUCGUUGUUUUCCUUUGGCUCAAGGUGACAUCAGUACCUACAAAAAGGCAAAUAUACGUGAGAAUGCUUUUAUAGCAAAAUCCUUGUUUGCAAAGGUAAUGAUGUUCUAAAACUGGAAAAAAUGCAACUCAGGCAAAAGGAAGAAACCCUAGCGUGACUUUUUCUUCCUAGCUUUUGUGGGUAGUGAAGUUUUUCUCAACAUGCUAUCAGAUUGGUUCCAUUAUUUAAAAGUAUUUUUAACACAGGAAAAAGUUUCGUGUUUUGUAUUUCGCAAUGCGAUUCGAUCAUCUUCCGCUGUUCCAGAUGGUGGCUUGCACCGUGCAAUCAGGCUGGAUCUUACACAAGAAUCCAUUCCAAACCCUGAAUAAGGGCCCAAGCCCAGAGAGGGACUUGUGUAUCCAUUGCCACAGGAGCAUUACAGAAACAUGCCCCCUAGGCUUGGACACCGUGGAAUUCAGGGAGCAAUUCUAGCUAGGAAUAGUAGGGAGAUAAAGAUUUGUUGUUGUUGUUGUUGUUGUUGUUUGUUUUUUUGAGACAGAGUCUCACUCUGUCACCCAGGCUGGAGUGCAGUGGCGCGAUCUCGGCUCACUGCAAGCUCCGCCUCCCGGGUUCAAGUGAUUCUCCUGCCUCAGCCUCCCGAGUAGCUGGGACUACAGGCGUCCACCACCAGGCCCGGCUAAUUUUUUGUAUUUUUAGUAGAGACGGGGUUUCACCAUGUUGGCCAGGAUGGCCUCAAUCUCUUGACCUUGUGAUCCGCCCGCCUCGGCCUCCCAAAGUGCUGGGAUGACAGGCGUGAGCCCCCGCGCCCUGCCAUGACGGGACUUUCUGACGUGGCGCUGUGUCUGGGCUCGCCCUUUCCUCGGAUCCCACCUCUCCGGAGGACGGGGAGAGUGCUGGGUAAUCCUGGGAGUUCCUAAAAGCCAGCACAGAAGGCAGGGGUUUCUUUCUCUGGGGGACUUCGGAGGAGGUGGCCACUGGUCUGAGAAAGUCUAAGUGUAGGUUGGGACUUCGGUCAACUGGGACUUAACUAUGCCACUCAAACUGGUGUGCAUGCAAUGCCACUUCUGCUGGGUCUGAAGAGGGAGGCCCUGCACCAAGGCCACGUUCAUAAGACACAGGGUGGAGAAGAGAGAUGGCAUCCCAUGGGGAGAGCUUGUCUCCCAAAGACUGGUCCAUCUGUUGAAAGAGGCUGUCCUCUCCCCUUAUUUCCUGAGGAGCUGCCCAGGAGGGCUCCCUGCUUCCCUCUGGCCUUCACAUUGGCCACCGGGACCAGGAGGAGCCCUCCCUCUUCCCUUCCCCUACCUGUCUCUCUCUCUCUGUCUCUCUCUCUGUAUCUCUUUGUCUCUGUUUCGCUCUGUCUCUCUCUCUAUGCCUCUCUCUGUCUUCCUCUUUCUGCUUCUCGUUGUCUUUCUCUUUGUUUCUGUCUUUCUGUCUUUCUCCCUCUUUCUGUCUCUCUCCCCCAUUCCCCCGUCUCUCUGUCUCUCUUUCUUUGUCUCUCUCUCCUUCUCUCUGUCUCUCUCUCACUGUCUCUGUCUCUGUCUCUUUCUGUCUCUGUCUCUCCCAAUCUCUUUGUCUCUCUCCCUCUCUCUGUCUCUCUCCCCACCCCCACGUCUGUCUCUUUCUCUGUCUCUUUCUCCUUCUGUCUCUCUCUCUCUCUGUCUCUCUCUCUCCCUGACGGUGUGGUGCAUUCUCUGACCCUCCCCUCCCCUCCUUACCUUUAUGACUGGCAGGUGGAGAGACAGCUAGUGACUCUUCUGUGGCCCAUCUUGGGAUGUGGCCCUGGGCAGUACUCACUGGAGGUGGACAGGACAGCACUUGCCCCUGAGGGCCCAGCAGUCGGCUCAGGUCGCCCGUGUGCAUAGAGAGGUGGAAGGUCAGCUUCCACUUCUGUGUUGGUUUCCCUAGACUCUGCCACAACAGAGCAUCACAGAGCGCGAGUCCUAAACAAGAGGAAUUUAUUCCCCCACAGGUCUAGGGAGGAGAGGUCCAAGAUCAAGGACCGAAGGUGGGUUCCUCCCGAGGGCAGGGUGGGAGAAUCUUUCCAGGUGCCUCUCCUAGUUUCUGGUGGCUGCUGGCACUCUUGGGCAUUCCUUUGUGUGAGGAAGCAUCCCCUGGUCCCUGCCUUCAUCUUCACAGGGCCUUCCUCCUAUGCGCAUGUCUGUCCCCGUAGCCACAUUUUCCCUUUCCAUAAGGACACAGUCAUAUUGGAUUAGGGCCCACCCUAUUGACCGCAUCUUAACUUGAUCAUCUGCAAAGAUGCUAUUUCCACAGAAGGCCACACGCACAGAUAUUGGGGAAAUCAUCCAGCCUGCAAUGACUGCCAAGGUGUGCUCUGCGCCUGGCUCGCCUGGGAGGAGCUCCAGAACAUGGGGCAGAGGCCACUCAGGUCGGGAACAGACAGUAACACACCCCCUGCAGAUGCCCUACCGUUUGGCCUAUGAUCCUUGGAUCAGGGCAGCGAUGCGUGAAGGUGGAUAUUAUUAUGACUCUAAAACCACACUGCCGUCCUGCCCCCAGGUCCACCUCAGAGCUAAAAGGGCCCCUUGAUGCAGUUCUUGGGGCACCCGUGGUGACAGCCCACUGGAUGAACCCACAAUGCACCCCACACUGCGCUGGGCUCGAGCAUCCUUGCUGUGAGGGUCCCCCUGCCUGAGCAGAUCUCACCCUGCAGAUGAGAGACACGUGUCUACCACCUAGCCAGGAUGUGCAGAGGGGUGGCUGGGGUCUCAGUGGAAGGGAAGGUGGCUGCUGUCUUUCCUAGGGCUGGGAGCUUUGAAAAAGGGAAAAACACUCACUCCGCUGAAUGCAGCUCUUGGGGGACUGGUGGGCCAACCCACAGGAUAAGAACUGCAUUGCAGGGGCCGGAGCCCAGGAUAAGGUUCACAGUGCAUUCUGAAUUUCCACCUAGCAUGGGCUCCAAGCACUGCGCUUGAAUUUGAAAUAUCAAAAGUAUCGGACCUCGUGGAAUUGAUACAUAGGUGAAGCACUUUUCUUUCUUGGUUGGCAGAGUAUAAAGUUCAGUAGUAUUUGCCUGCGCAUGACUGUCUUUUUCAAAUGAGGAGGGGAGUGGGAGGCAUGGAAAGGAGAUGGUUUGUUCCUAACAAACUACAUUCCAGAAUGUUCUCUCCAAGGUUGGAGCCCUUCCUUGGCUGGAAAGCUGUGUGACUCUCCCAUACUCUGAACAGGGCCAUCUUCAUGGCAGGCUUGCGGCUGCAGUCUUUCCUGUGGAUUUGCACCAGAGCUGUUUGUACCAGGGGCUUGUUGCAACUCAUCUUGCAAGGGGAAAUCCAAAACUCAGAAAUGACACAGCAUUUUAGAGUUGGUGGCAAGGCAGGAAUAGGAUAAUGGAAGAGAGAUUCAAGGUCCACACAGCACUUAGUGUUUUGUUGUUUUUUUUUUAACUUAACUUAUUGGGGGAAUAAACUAUUAGAUUUUUAUAACAUAUACUUUGGGUUGUUUGUUUGUUUUGAGAUGGAGUUUCGCUCUUGUUGCCCAGGCUGGAGUGCAAUGGUGCGAUUUCAACUCACUGCGACGUCCUCCUCCCGGGUUCAAGCUAUUCUCCUGCCUCAGCCUCCGGAGUAGCUGGGAUUACAGGCAUGCUCCACCAUGCCUGGCUAAUUUUAGUAAAGACGGGGUUUCACCACACUGGCCAGGCUGGCCUCGAACUCCUGACCUCAGGUGAUCUGCCCACCUCAGCCUCCCAAAGUGCUGAGAUUACAGGCGUGAGCCACCGUGCCCAGCCUGUAACAUAUAUCUGGACUCAUAGGGCUCAUGAUAAAAUGUGGGAGGUUCUGAGUUCCGCGACUCCUCCCCGGCUGCUUUCUGAUCUUUUCCUUGUGCUUCCACAACCCGCUCCCUCCAAUGAGGUGGAAAGUGUGGGUAUGACGGAGUGGCCUCCAGCCACUGGGGGAAACUCUCCUGCAGUGAACAUGGCUUGUAGCCAGGUCAGAGAGACUGUGGGGUCCAUGGCAUGGUGGCAACUUCUAGCAAGAAUUAGAAGGAGAGACACACCCACAGGUCACGUUCACUUGUUGGCUGAGAGCAGUUUUCCUGGCUCAUGUGCAGAGUGUCAAGGUUAGCAGACCUCAAUGCCAUUGGUAAAUCCCUUCGCAAUGUUUGAAUGAGGAGAAUCCCAUAGCUGCACAGCUGAUUUAUUCCGUUUGUCGUUGGUGUCGUCAUCAUCACUCUCUGUUUUCCAGUCCUCAUCUCUGGCUUUGUGCAUUAGGAUGAAAGUCCUGAAAUGCAGUGUGAGUCUGGGCUCUGACAUGUGGGCUCUGGUGAAAGUUGGCACGCAAGUGACUCCACCUGUGGGCUCUGGCAUCCUCAGUCUGAACAUGAAAGGACUAACACCUUUGUCUAUGACCCAGAAUGGCUGUGGGAAUUAAACAAGAUGAAAAUAGGUGGAAAUCGAAGCUUUUCAGUUUGCCCCCUAGAACGGACGCUGAGACCAGUGUGUGUGCUGGGGAGUUACAGGCCUCACUCUCAGGACGAAGCCUGCACUGAGUGAAGAGGGAGCCAAGGGAGGAGUCUAACCGGCCAGCAGCUGCAGCCAAGGCCUCUGCCCAUUCCGUGGGAGUUCUGGACCUGGGGUUGGUGGGGGGGCCUUCAGAGUGGCCCCAAACAAAGGCAAAGGGACGAGCCUUUGUACCCGCCCUGCAGGCUGUUCAGUGGAGAUGAUGCAGCCUCGGUGAGGCCACAGCUUUGCAUAUGUCCAUUUCAAAUACAACAGCAAAGCUUACAGGCAAUUUGGGAUUUCAUGAAGUCAAUGAAAGUGACGUUGGAGAAUUGCUCAGGACUUUCCCACGGUCACUGGCACACGGUUAACUAUAAUUAGCAAUUAAAGAGCAAGUAAUCACCAUGGAAAGUGGCACAACAGCAUUAAGAGAUCUGCAUCCGCACAGCUCCGGUUAAAGACGCCUUUGAGAAAGAUGAUACAGCGAUGCAAGAGUGUUGCAGACAUGGCCUUUCGUGGGGGAGCGCUGUAAGCUGGGGGGGUGUCUCAUCCUGCUGGCUUAGAGUUUUGUUGGAAAAAUUACACCAGAAAAACAGUAACACUGGAAGCCUUCUUUGCUGAAUCUAAGGAUUAUUGCAUAAUUAUAACUUAAAUUUUGUAUAAACUAAAAUAAAUUUAUAUAAUUCGGUUUUAUUUGGUUUCAAGGUAAAACCAUCAACUGACCUUUUUUUUUUCAUUAUUUAUUAUGAAAGUUUUAUUCUUGUUUAAAGUGGAUUUUCCCUUACAUAGCCUUUUCCUGGGAACACGUAUCUUCAGAGGACAUCAACACCAGCCUCUCCUGCCAUGUCUUACGUCAAACUCAAUCCCUUCUGAGGGCCUCAGCUGAUGUCACAUCCAUAUAAGAAAUUGGGACACACCUUGGAAGUUUCAGUUUUGGUAUCCUGUGGUAAAAGUUGGUAUCUAGACAGGAUUAGCCAUCACAUCCCCAAGAAUGAGCUAUGGCUAGAUUUCUUCAGCUGAAGAUGAAAGACAUCUGCCUGCGAGUCAGCUCUAGAGGGUAAGAAAAUCUAGGCUUGGGAAGGUCAGAUGAAGAGGGUGGGAUCUCAAUCUCUAAAGACUUGGAAUUUCAAUCCCAGCUUCAGUUGUUCCAUCAAGAAAUGAGAAAAUGACAACAUAGAAUUGUCAUUUAUGGCAAAUUAUGCAUAAAUGUAAAAUAACUGCACUGCAGUUUCUGAAAACACUAAGAUUCCUAAAUAAACACCUGGGGCAUUGAGAUAGAUCGUGAGAAAUAAUACACAAAAGUAGAGGCAUGAAGGAGACCACAGGCCUCAGAUGGCAACAAAGUGUGGUAAAAACCAUCCUGUGUUGGGCCAGGUGCAGUGGCUCACGCCUGUAAUCCCAGCACUUUGGGAGGCCAAGGAGGGUAGAUCAUGAGGUCAGGAGAUGGAGACCAUCCUGGCCAACAUGGUGAAACCCCCUGUCUACUAAAAAUACAAAAAUUAGCUGGGCGUGGUGGCACGUGCCUGUAGUCCCAGCUCUCGGGAGGCUGAGGCAGGAGAAUCACUUGAACCCAGGAGU
RNAcentral lists this long non-coding RNA (6262 nucleotides) under Homo sapiens (human). Its description in RNAcentral is "non-protein coding LINC00908:15". The record is from RNAcentral. Lineage: Eukaryota; Metazoa; Chordata; Mammalia; Primates; Hominidae.